AGCGAACGCUGGCGGCAGGCUUAACACAUGCAAGUCGAACGCCCCGUAAGGGGAGUGGCAGACAGGUGAGUAACACGUGGGAACGUACCCUUUGGUUCGGAAUAACUUAGGGAAACUCAAGCUAAUACCGGAUAAGCCCUUAGGGGGACAGGUUUACUGCCGAAGGAUCGGCCCGCGUCUGAUUAGCUAGUUGGUGAGGUAAUGGCUCAACAAGGCGGCGAUCAGCACCAGGGCUGAGAGGAUGAUCAGCCACACUGGGACUGAGACACGGCCCAGACUCCUACGGGGGGCAGCAGUAGGGAAUAUUGGACAAUGGGGGCAACCCUGAUCCAGCCGUGCCGCGUGAGUGAUGAAGGCCUUAGGGUUGUAAAGCUCUUUUACCCGGGACGAUAAUGACUGUACCGGGAGAAUAAGCCCCGGCUAACUUCGUGCCAGCCGCCGCCGUAA
This 447-nucleotide ribosomal RNA is filed under the name uncultured bacterium. RNAcentral's name for it is "partial 16S ribosomal RNA". It matches the Rfam family "Bacterial small subunit ribosomal RNA", at positions 29 to 523 of the family's 1533-position model. The record is from RNAcentral.